Long non-coding RNA from Phyllostomus hastatus (greater spear-nosed bat), 567 nucleotides. RefSeq lists it as uncharacterized. The transcript has 3 exons. The record is from RefSeq and is a predicted model, not a curated record. Lineage: Eukaryota; Metazoa; Chordata; Mammalia; Chiroptera; Phyllostomidae.
AAUCCAGGAAGCUGCUCUUUAGUAAUCAGAGGACACCUAGAAACCAAGUCGGCCAAUCCUUUUCAAAGUCGGCAUGUGGAGUGCAAGCCACAACAUGCGCCUUUACCUGGGGGGUUAUGUUCGUUGAGAAUCACCAGUGAUGCCGGUGUAGGUCUUCUUUUCCUGAUCUGUGAACAACAAAGGCCCAGCUAAGGUCAGUGAGAGUCAGACAACGCUCCAGGUUACCCUACAGAUUGCAAAGCUGUUUCAUCCUCAACUGUUCCCAACACACAAAAGAGCUUGCUCUUAGGACACUUUCUUUCAAAACCUAAGGGCAGUGAGAAGUCCAAGUGACAAGAAGAGGUCAUAUGUUGACUCCAGACAACAGCCCCAGGGAAGGCCAGCUUUUGAGUCAUCAUAGCCAUCCCCUGGGACAUCUGAGUGAAGAAGCCUCCAGAUGAGUCCAUGAGUCCAGCCCCCAGCCAUAUGAGUCACCUCCGGCUGUUUGUGUGUUCUAGCUGAGGCCCCAGAUAGCAUGGAGUUGUCCUCACUGUACCCUGUCUGAAUUCUUGACUUGCAGGAUUUGGC